UUUUAGUUUGAACCCCCGAAACUAAGUGAGCUACUUCGAGGCAGUUUUAAGAACGACCCCAUCUCUGUAGCAAAAGAGUGGGAUGACCCCCAAGUAGAGGCGACAAACCUACCGCACUUAGAGAUAGCUGGUUACUCAAGAAAAGAAUUUAAGUUCAACCUAAAGCUUUUCAAUUACACAAAAACACAAUAAAACUUUAGAGCCACUCAAAUAAGGCACAGCUUAUUUGAAAUAGGAUUCAACCUACAACAUCGGGUAAUAUAGAUAAAUAAGUAACAAGUGGGCCUAAAAGCAGCCACCUACAAAAAGCGUUAAAGCUUAAUACUUAAAUAAUACUAAUACCUCCACUACCAUAGAACCCCUCACCAAUAUUGAGUAAUUCCAUAAACCUAUGGAAGCUAUUAUGCUAGAAUUAGUAACAAGAAAUAGCUUUUCUCCUAAAUGUAAGCUUAAGCCACAAUAGACCAACUACCGGCAAUUAACGCAUAUGAAAACAUUACAACAACUCAAACAAGAAAACCCUGUACCAACACACGUUAACCUUACACCAGAACAUUUAAGGAAAGAUUAAAAGAAAAAGAAGGAACUCGGCAAACCACUGACCCCGCCUGUUUACCAAAAACAUCGCCUCUUGCUAAAACAUAAGAGGUCCAGCCUGCCCAGUGACAAAAUUCAACGGCCACGGUAUCCUAACCGCGCCAAGGUAGCAUAAUCACUUGUUCUUUAAAUGGGGACUUGUAUCAACGGCACCACGAGGGUUAUACUGUCUCCUUUUUCAAAUCAGUGAAAUUAAUCUCCCCGUGAAGAAGCGGGGAUAUUCUUAUAAGACGAGAAGACCCCAUGGAGCUUCAAACCCAAUUACACCCCUAACUCUUAUAACCUCACAACCCCCUCUAGACACGUGUACUUGGUUUUGGGUUGGGGCGACCGCGGAGUAUAAUAAAACCUCCACAAUGAAUGGGACCACCCCCUUAUCUAAGGACCACACCCCUAAGAAUUAGAACACUAACAUAAAAUGAUCCAUUACUUGAUCAAUGAACCAAGUUACCCUGGGGAUAACAGCGCAAUCCAUUUCAAGAGCCCCUAUCGACAAAUGGGUUUACGACCUCGAUGUUGGAUCAGGGUACCCCAGUGGUGCAGCA
RNAcentral lists this ribosomal RNA (1142 nucleotides) under Mantidactylus opiparis. Its description in RNAcentral is "partial 16S ribosomal RNA". It matches the Rfam family "Bacterial large subunit ribosomal RNA", at positions 700 to 2560 of the family's 2925-position model. Lineage: Eukaryota; Metazoa; Chordata; Amphibia; Anura; Mantellidae. The record is from RNAcentral.